ACAUCCAGCGAACUUGGCAGAGAUGCCUGGUGCCUUCGGGAACGCUGAGACAGGUGCUGCAUGGCUGUCGUCAGCUCGUGUUGUGAAAUGUUGGGUUAAGUCCCGNAACGAGCGCAACCCUUAUCCUUUGUUGCCAGCGAUUCGGUCGGGAACUCAAAGGAGACUGCCGGUGAUAAACCGGAGGAAGGUGGGGAUGACGUCAAGUCAUCAUGGCCCUUACGAGUAGGGCUACACACGUGCUACAAUGGCGCAUACAAAGAGAAGCGACCUCGCGAGAGCAAGCGGACCUCAUAAAGUGCGUCGUAGUCCGGAUCGGAGUCUGCAACUCGACUCCGUGAAGUCGGAAUCGCUAGUAAUCGUGGAUCAGAAUGCCACGGUGAAUACGUUCCCGGGCCUUGUACACACCGCCCGUCACACCAUGGGAGUGGGUUGCAAAAGAAGUAGGUAGCUUAACCUUCGGGAGGGCGCUUACCACUUUGUGAUUCAUGACUGGGGUGAAGUCGUAACAAGGUAAGCGUAGCGAG
Molecule: ribosomal RNA, 524 nt
Filed under: uncultured bacterium
Lineage: Bacteria
Description: bacterial SSU rRNA
Rfam family: Bacterial small subunit ribosomal RNA
Source: RNAcentral